CUGCUAAUACCGCAUAAGGCCACAGCACCGCAUGGUGCAGGGGUAAAAACUCCGGUGGUGUGAGAUGGGCCCGCGUCUGAUUAGGUAGUUGGUGAGGUAACGGCUCACCAAGCCGACGAUCAGUAGCCGACCUGAGAGGGUGACCGGCCACAUUGGGACUGAGACACGGCCCAAACUCCUACGGGAGGCAGCAGUGGGGAAUAUUGCACAAUGGGGGAAACCCUGAUGCAGCGACGCCGCGUGAGCGAUGAAGUAUUUCGGUAUGUAAAGCUCUAUCAGCAGGGAAGAAACUGACGGUACCUGACUAAGAAGCACCGGCUAAAUACGUGCCAGCAGCCGCGGUAAUACGUAUGGUGCAAGCGUUAUCCGGAUUUACUGGGUGUAAAGGGAGCGUAGACGGACUUGCAAGUCUGAAGUGAAAGCCCGGGGCUCAACCCCGGGACUGCUUUGGAAACUGUAGGUCUAGAGUGCUGGAGAGGUAAGUGGAAUUCCUAGUGUAGCGGUGAAAUGCGUAGAUAUUAGGAGGAACACCAGUGGCGAAGGCGGCUUACUGGACAGUAACUGACGUUGAGGCUCGAAAGCGUGGGGAGCAAACAGGAUUAGAUACCCUGGUAGUCCACGCCGUAAACGAUGACUGCUAGGUGUCGGGGAGCAAAGCU
RNAcentral lists this ribosomal RNA (659 nucleotides) under uncultured bacterium. RNAcentral's name for it is "bacterial SSU rRNA". It matches the Rfam family "Bacterial small subunit ribosomal RNA", at positions 160 to 837 of the family's 1533-position model. The record is from RNAcentral.